Oncorhynchus tshawytscha (Chinook salmon) is the source of this 1258-nucleotide long non-coding RNA. The record is from Ensembl. Lineage: Eukaryota; Metazoa; Chordata; Actinopteri; Salmoniformes; Salmonidae.
GGAGUAAGAGCAGUCUGAAUGAGUGGACCCUGCCGUGUCAGAGCUUUUUCAUGAGCACGACCGAGAGUGCCUUUCUUGUUUACCUUUUUAUAUUGACAAUGUUAUUGUCCGGUUGAAAUAUUAUUGAUUGUUUUGGGCUAAAAACAACCUGAGGAUUGAAUAUAAACAUCGUUUGACAUGUUUCUUUGAACUUUACGGAUACAAUUUGGAUUUUUUUGUCUGCCUGUUGUGACUGCGUUUGAGCCUGUGGAUUACUGAAGAAAACGUGUGAACAAAACGGAUGUUUUUGGAUAUAAAGAGACUAUCAAACAAAAUAAACAUUUAUUCAAUAAAUGUCUUCUGAGGGCAACCAUAUGAGGAUCAUGAAAGCUAAACCGAUUAGCUGUGAAGUCACUUUGGCCGGAGAAAGAUGGCGUCGCUUCUAUCCCCUACAAGAUCAACGAUGAUCUGGUGGACAGAAAGAAAACCAUGCUAGCAGCGUUCAAGCUCAUUUCAGACCAGACGUGUAUCCGCUUCCACGAAUACACCAAUGAGAUUAACUACAUCGAGUUCAUCUCUGGGACAGGGUUGACCAGGUCUAUUUUGCUGUAGUGUUCUUCCGCGAUGACCUGUGCCAUGACGGCAUGGAUGGUUUUCUCUGUGGGGAAGAAGCGCCUCAGCGGCGGCGGGGUCGUGUCUUGGAACAGCCCCGUCCGCACGUACUGGACCAUCUGGUUCUUUACCUCCUUCACCUUCCUCACCCCCUGCUGCACCAACGCUCGGAUGUAACCUUUGACCCUGUCGUCCAUCUGAUCUGCACCCGAGGGAACGAGGAGAGAGUGGCUUUUGUUAAGUAGGGAGAAAAUACCCCUAACCACUGUUACAGGGUCAGAUACUUGUAUUCCACAGGGAAUUUCAAGAGAUCAAGGAUUUAUUACGUCUGUGUACCGAACAGGCAUACAGAUACUAGUUAUGUAGCCUAAAGUGAGUCCAAUACAAUAGAUCCCAUGGUCAUAGUAUAGUAAUAACAUAGUAAUACCUUUCCAAUAGGAUGGCCCUUGUGGUCAGUGACACUGGGUAUUUUGAGGAAAUACUGUAUCUUCCACUGCACUGAGGCUGGGUCUGUCUGGAGAGCUUGUUUGAUGGAAAUAGACAUGACCCUCAACCAUGAUGUGUCCUUCUCCAACUGAUGCAGUAUGGAGCGAGCGCACACACACACACAGAGAGAUAUAAUUAUGUAUAUUAGUCUGAUGUGCAUUCUAAUGUUGACUGUGGUGCA